AGGGGCGUAGCUCAACUGGUAGAGUAGCGGACUCCAAAUCCGUUGGUUGCGGGUUCGAGCCCUGCCGCCCCUGCCA
RNAcentral lists this transfer RNA (76 nucleotides) under Clostridia bacterium. RNAcentral's name for it is "tRNA-Trp". It matches the Rfam family "tRNA". From Rfam's summary of the family: Transfer RNA (tRNA) molecules are approximately 80 nucleotides in length. Their secondary structure includes four short double-helical elements and three loops (D, anti-codon, and T loops). Lineage: Bacteria; Bacillati; Bacillota; Clostridia. The record is from RNAcentral.